This 484-nucleotide ribosomal RNA is filed under the name uncultured bacterium. Its description in RNAcentral is "partial 16S ribosomal RNA". It matches the Rfam family "Bacterial small subunit ribosomal RNA", at positions 28 to 507 of the family's 1533-position model. The record is from RNAcentral.
AUUGAACGCUGGCGGCAUGCUUUACACAUGCCAGUCGAACGGCAGCGCGGGCUUCGGCCUGGCGGCGAGUGGCGAACGGGUGAGUAAUGCAUCGGAACGUGCCCAGUAGUGGGGGAUAGCCCGGCGAAAGCCGGAUUAAUACCGCAUACGACCUGAGGGUGAAAGCGGGGGACCGAAAGGCCUCGCGCUAUUGGAGCGGCCGAUGUCGGAUUAGCUAGUUGGUGGGGUAAAGGCUUACCAAGGCGACGAUCCGUAGCUGGUCUGAGAGGACGACCAGCCACGCUGGGACUGAGACACGGCCCAGACUCCUACGGGAGGCAGCAGUGGGGAAUUUUGGACAAUGGGGGCAACCCUGAUCCAGCCAUGCCGCGUGCGGGAAAAAGGCCUUCGGGUUGUAAACCGCUUUUGUUCGGGAAGAAAUACUCUGGGCUAAUACCCCGGGGGGAUGACGGUACCGGAAGAAUAAGCACCGGCUAACUACGUG